GACGAACGCUGGCGGCGUGCCUAAUACAUGCAAGUAGAACGCUGAAGGAGGAGCUUGCUUCUCUGGAUGAGUUGCGAACGGGUGAGUAACGCGUAGGUAACCUGCCUGGUAGCGGGGGAUAACUAUUGGAAACGAUAGCUAAUACCGCAUAAUAUUGACUAUUGCAUGAUAGUCAGUUGAAAGGGGCAACUGUACCACUACCAGAUGGACCUGCGUUGCAUUAGCUAGUUGGUGGGGUAACGGCUCACCAAGGCGACGAUACAUAGUCGACCUGAGAGGGGGAUCGGCCACACUGGGACUGGGACACGGCCCAGGCUCCUACGGGAGGGAGCAGUAGGGAAUCCUCGGGAAUGGACGGAAGUCUGACCGGGCAACGCCGGGGGAGUGAAGAAGGUUUUCGGAUCGUAAAGCUCUGUUGUAAGGGAAGAAAGAGUGUGGGAGUGGAAAGCGCACACUGUGACGGUAUCUUACCAGAAAGGGACGGCUAACUACGUG
This 495-nucleotide ribosomal RNA is filed under the name uncultured bacterium. Its description in RNAcentral is "partial 16S ribosomal RNA". It matches the Rfam family "Bacterial small subunit ribosomal RNA", at positions 28 to 507 of the family's 1533-position model. The record is from RNAcentral.